UCUUUUUUUAAUUAACGAAUUUUUUUAUAAUUUCGCUAAGUUCGAUGUUUUACAUCAAUCAAAUAGAUAUAAUAAAAUUUUCUUUUGAGCC
Xenia sp. Carnegie-2017 is the source of this 91-nucleotide long non-coding RNA. RefSeq lists it as uncharacterized. The transcript has 3 exons. The record is from RefSeq and is a predicted model, not a curated record. Lineage: Eukaryota; Metazoa; Cnidaria; Anthozoa; Malacalcyonacea; Xeniidae.